RNAcentral lists this ribosomal RNA (301 nucleotides) under uncultured bacterium. Its description in RNAcentral is "partial 16S ribosomal RNA". It matches the Rfam family "Bacterial small subunit ribosomal RNA", at positions 509 to 807 of the family's 1533-position model. The record is from RNAcentral.
CAGUCGCCGCGGUAAUACAGAGGAUGCAAGCGUUAUCCGGAAUGAUUGGGCGUAAAGCGUCUGUAGGUGGCUUUUCAAGUCCGCCGUCAAAUCCCAGGGCUCAACCCUGGACAGGCGGUGGAAACUACCAAGCUGGAGUACGGUAGGGGCAGAGGGAAUUUCCGGUGGAGCGGUAAAAUGCGUUGAGAUCGGAAGGAACAUCUGUGGCGAAGGCGACUAUCUGGGCCAACACUGACACUGAGGCACGAAAGCGUGGGGAGCAAACAGGAUUAGAUACCCCAGUAGUCCCUGUCUCUUAUAC